GGGGGCGUUCUAGACUCGCUCGGAGAAGUGGUGGCAAGAGUUGCGCGUCGAGAUUCCACCUGGUCUCGUUAAACGGUGGACCUUUAUAAUUGCAAACAACGAAUACGCUCUAGCUGCUUAAGUGCCGCUAGCAUUCUGCCUUCUGAACCUACGGUGAAGGGCCAGGGUGUCAAAACAGUAGGUUGCUCUAACAACAAUGCUCGGAGUUGCUUAGAAAAGAUUAUCGAGCUAGCCUGAAAUGAAUCCUUGCCUUUAGGAGUCACGACUGGCGAAACUUAAAUUGAAGGAUACACGCGUAGACGCUUUUGUGGCGGCUCUUCGAUACAGGGGUGCAAAUCCCCUCGCCUCCACCA
This 353-nucleotide transfer-messenger RNA is filed under the name Desulfosporosinus sp. It matches the Rfam family "transfer-messenger RNA". Rfam says of the family: Bacterial tmRNA, also known as 10Sa RNA or SsrA, is named for its dual tRNA and mRNA-like properties. Its role is to liberate the mRNA from a stalled ribosome. Lineage: Bacteria; Bacillati; Bacillota; Clostridia; Eubacteriales; Desulfitobacteriaceae. The record is from RNAcentral.